GAUGAACGCUGGCGGCGUGCCUAAUACAUGCAAGUCGAGCGAACAGACGAGGAGCUUGCUCCUCUGACGUUAGCGGCGGACGGGUGAGUAACACGUGGAUAACCUACCUAUAAGACUGGGAUAACUUCGGGAAACCGGAGCUAAUACCGGAUAAUAUAUUGAACCGCAUGGUUCAAUAGUGAAAGACGGUUUUGCUGUCACUUAUAGAUGGAUCCGCGCCGCAUUAGCUAGUUGGUAAGGUAACGGCUUACCAAGGCAACGAUGCGUAGCCGACCUGAGAGGGAGGGCGGGCACCACUGGAGAGGAGAACGGGCCCAGCCCCCUCGGGGGGGCGGAGGAGGGAAUCCUCCCGAAUGGGGAGAAAGCCGGACGGAGAACCCCGGGGGGAGGGAGGAGGGUCUUCGAAUCUAAAACUCUUGUUAUUGGGAAAAAACAAAGGGGAAAGAAAAAAUGAACGUCUUGACGGACCCUAAUAAAAAGGCCAGGACAAACCCCGGG
This 498-nucleotide ribosomal RNA is filed under the name uncultured bacterium. RNAcentral's name for it is "partial 16S ribosomal RNA". It matches the Rfam family "Bacterial small subunit ribosomal RNA", at positions 28 to 507 of the family's 1533-position model. The record is from RNAcentral.